GACGUCGCCGGGAACUCCUCCGCUGCCGUCGCUGUCCGCAGCCGCGAAGACCUCUCCGGAAACUCCUCCGCGAAGGUUGGUUACUCUUGAUCUCUCGACGUUUUGUAGUUGGUAGGCCACUAAAACUUGAGAAUCCCAACUUAAAACUCUUAUUUGGCAAUGCAACUGAGCUUAGAGAAAUUUAUCUUGAUGGUGUUAAUAUCUCAGCUAAAGGUAGUGAGUGGUGUGAAACCUUAUCUUCAUCUUUGCCUAAUUUGAGAGUAUUGAGCUUGCGAAAUUGUCAUCUUUCUGGGCCUAUACACCCUUCCCUUUUGAAGCUUCACUCUCUGUCUGUAAUCCAACUAGACCAAAAUAAUCUGUCCAGUGCAGUUCCAGAAUUCUUGGCGAAUUUGACUGCCCUGAGCCUUGGCAACUGUCAGCUGCAGGGAGAAUUUCCAAAAGCAAUUUUACAGCUACUGGUAACAUUCUUGGCUGUCAACUUUUUAAGAAAAUUACUUUCACAUUGAUGCAUCCGGGACUGCUUUUAUCUGUAAAGUUGAGUGCUCUCUUGCUUAUAGCUUCUACUUAGGAUCUUUGAUUGUAUUAUUUAGAUGGACACUUAGACAGUAUGCUUCUCUCUAUAUGGAAUGGUUUGCUGAAAAUGUUUGACAAGCACCUACAUGUGCAUUUAGUUGUAGACUUGUAGUAGUUUAGAAUUAAUUCCUAAGGUAGUAGUGUCAUGUUCAACACUUCGUUUAUUAGAUCAAAUGCUUUGAUGGUUAAUCGAGAUGAAAUUGACAUCCUCUGGAAUGUCAAGGAUCAAUUCCCCAAGGACUUCAGAGCAGAGAUUGUGUUCUCGGAGAUGGAUUCGGGUUCUUCCAACAUUAAAGCACAUUCAUUGCAUAGUGCUGAAGAGAAAGGUCUCCCCGUUGAAGCCUAUGGGCUGAAACACAGAAACCUGAGGAAGCUGCCCAGGCUCCUGAAUUCGACAUGUCUGAACUUGAGACUCUCUUCUCAGCAACUGUUCCAGAUUCAGGUCGCAGAAAUGGAGGUGGAAAAUCAGGUAAUGCUGCAGGAGCUAAGGCUGAUAAAGUGCAUUUGUGUUCUGUUCUAGCGCUGGAUGAUUCAACAUUGGACAUUGAUCAGAUUGAGAAUCUUAUAAAAUUUUGUCCUACUAAGGAAGAAAUGGAACUUCUAAAGAAUUACAAGGGAGAGAAGGAAAACCUUGGAAAAUGUGAACAGGCAAGUGGUGUUUGACUUUUGUUUUCUUUAUCCUUUUUCUCCACUGCCUGUUUGACAAUAAAACUCGUAACUCAACAUAUUGCUCCUUUUGAAUUUGGACCUGUCAAAUAAUCAGAACCUUAGUGGUGGGAUCCCAGAAU
Molecule: RNA transcript, 1361 nt
Organism: Ipomoea triloba (trilobed morning glory)
Lineage: Eukaryota; Viridiplantae; Streptophyta; Magnoliopsida; Solanales; Convolvulaceae
Gene name: formin-like protein 17
Exons: 5
Source: RefSeq, a predicted model, not a curated record